GACGAACGCUGGCGGCGUGCUUAACACAUGCAAGUCGAACGCUGAAGCUCAGCUUUUGUUGGGUGGAUGAGUGGCGAACGGGUGAGUAACACGUGAGUAACCUGCCCCCUUCUUUGGGAUAACGCCCGGAAACGGGUGCUAAUACUGGAUAUUCACUGGUCUUCGCAUGGGGGUUGGUGGAAAGGGUUUUUCUGGUGGGGGAUGGGCUCGCGGCCUAUCAGCUUGUUGGUGGGGUGAUGGCCUACCAAGGCUUUGACGGGUAGCCGGCCUGGGAGGGUGACCGGUCACAUUGGGACUGAGAUACGGCCCAGACUCCUACGGGAGGCAGCAGUGGGGAAUAUUGCGCAAUGGGCGCAAGCCUGAUGCAGCGACGCCGCGUGAGGGAUGGAGGCCUUCGGGUUGUGAACCUCUUUCGCUCAUGGUCAAGCCGCAACAAUGGUUGUGGUGAGGGUAGUGGGUAAAGAAGCGCCGGCUAACUACGUG
RNAcentral lists this ribosomal RNA (483 nucleotides) under uncultured bacterium. RNAcentral describes it as "partial 16S ribosomal RNA". It matches the Rfam family "Bacterial small subunit ribosomal RNA", at positions 28 to 507 of the family's 1533-position model. The record is from RNAcentral.